GUAAAGAUACAUUCUAUAAAGAAAGAGAAAAAGAAGAAUCAAGAUAGCAAACAGAAACACACACACGAAAACACUCUUACUACCGUUCUUGUUUUUUUUUUUUUUUUGGUU
This 111-nucleotide non-coding RNA is filed under the name Protocruzia adhaerens. The record is from RNAcentral. Lineage: Eukaryota; Ciliophora; Spirotrichea.